GUUCGUUCGUUCGUCCGACUUCAGGUUAAAGUUUUUGGUCAAGGUAGUUUUUGAUGAAGUUGAAGUCCAAUCCACUUGAAACUUAGUACACAUGUUCCCCAUGAUAUGAUUUUCUAAUUUAAUGCCAAAUUAUAGUUUUGACCCCAAUUUCAUGGUCAACUGAACAUAGAAAAUGAAAGUGCGAAGUUCAGGUUAAAGUUUUUGGUCAAGGUAGUUUUUGAUGAAGUUAGAGUCACAACUACUUGAAACUUAGUACACAUGUUCCCUUUGAUAUGAUCUUUCUAAUUUUAAUUCCAAAUUAAAGUUUUGACCCCAAUUUCACGGUCCACUGAACAUGGAAAAUUAUAGUGCGAGUGGGGCAUCCGUGUACUAUGGACACAUUCUUGUUUUAUAUUGUU
This 398-nucleotide long non-coding RNA is filed under the name Mytilus galloprovincialis (Mediterranean mussel). The record is from RNAcentral. Lineage: Eukaryota; Metazoa; Mollusca; Bivalvia; Mytilida; Mytilidae.